GUUAAAAAGCUCGUAGUUGGAUUUCGGGUGUGGACGACCGGUCCGUCUUUGAUGUGUACUGGUCGGUUGCGCCUUAUUGUCGAGGACGUGUUUCUGGCCUUCAUUGACUGGGACACGGAGUCGGCAGCGUUACUUUGAGAAAAUUAGAGUGUUCAAAGCAGGCUAUCGCUCUGAAUACUACAGCAUGGAAUAACACGAUAGGACUCCGAGCCUAUUUGUUGGUCUUCGGGACCGGAGUAAUGAUUAAGAGGGACAGUUGGGGGCAUUCGUAUUCCGAUGUCAGAGGUGAAAUUCUUGGAUUAUCGGAAGACGAACAUCUGCGAAAGCAUUUGCCAAGGAUGUUUUCAUUAAUCAAGAACGAAAGUUGGGGGCUCGAAGAA
This 380-nucleotide ribosomal RNA is filed under the name uncultured marine eukaryote. RNAcentral's name for it is "SSU rRNA". It matches the Rfam family "Eukaryotic small subunit ribosomal RNA", at positions 618 to 1005 of the family's 1831-position model. The record is from RNAcentral.